RNAcentral lists this ribosomal RNA (1444 nucleotides) under metagenome. RNAcentral describes it as "bacterial LSU rRNA". It matches the Rfam family "Bacterial large subunit ribosomal RNA", at positions 1458 to 2925 of the family's 2925-position model. The record is from RNAcentral.
UCAGAACUGUAGGGACGCAUGUGGAAAGCACGAGCCGGGAAUGGAAAGACCGGUACAAGCGGGGUAGGUGUACAACAGGCAAAUCCGUUGUAUAAUCCGAAGACGUGAUGUGGAGCGAAAUAAAGUAGUGAAGCGUGUGAGCCAUGUGCCGAGAAAAGCUGCUAUUGUGUAAUGCGUGCCCGUACCGUAAACCGACACAGGUGGAUGAGGAGAGAAUCCUAAGGCCGACGGAAGAAGCAUUGUUAUGGAAUUCGGCAAAAUGACCCCGUAACUUCGGGAGAAGGGGUGCCUGCGAGAGCAGGCCGCAGAGAAUAGGCUCAAGCAACUGUUUAGCAAAAACACAGGUCUAUGCGAAACCGAAAGGUGAAGUAUAUGGGCUGACGCCUGCCCGGUGCUGGAAGGUUAGGAGGAGAGGUUAGCGUAAGCGAAGCUUUGAAUUUAAGCCCCAGUAAACGGCGGCCGUAACAAUAACGGUCCUAAGGUAGCGAAAUUCCCUGUCGGGUAAGUUCCGACCCGCACGAAAGGCGUAAUGAUUUGAGCACUGUCUCGACAAUGCAUCCGGUGAAAUUGAAGUACCAGUGAAGAUGCUGGUUACCCGCGCCAGGACGGAAAGACCCCAUGGAGCUUUACUCCAGUUUGAUACUGGGAUUCGGUACUGCAUGUACAGGAUAGGUGGGAGACAAAGAAGGAUGGACGCCAGUCUGUCCGGAGUCGCUGUUGGGAUACCACCCCUGUAGUACUGGGUUUCUAACCAGUUGCCAUGAACUGGCAAUGGGACAAUGUCAGGCGGGGAGUUUGACUGGGGCGGUCGCCUCCGAAAGGGUAUCGGAGGCGCUCAAAGGUUCCCUCAGAAUGGUUGGAAACCAUUUGAAGAGUGCAAAGGCAGAAGGGAGCUUGACUGCGACACCGACGGGUGGAGCAGGUACGAAAGUAGGACUUAGUGAUCCGGUGGUAUAAAGUGGGAUUGCCAUCGCUCAACGGAUAAAAGCUACCCUUGGGAUAACAGGCUUAUCACUCCCAAGAGUUCACAUCGACGGAGUGGUUUGGCACCUCGAUGUCGGCUCAUCGCAUCCUGGGGCUGUAGCAGGUCCCAAGGGUUGGGCUGUUCGCCCAUUAAAGCGGUACGCGAGCUGGGUUCAGAACGUCGUGAGACAGUUCGGUCCCUAUCCGGCGCGGGCGGAGGAUAUUUGAGAGGAGCCGUCCUUAGUACGAGAGGACCGGGAUGGUCGGACCACUGGUGUAUCUGUUGUCGACCAACGGCAUGGCAGAGUAGCCAAGUCUGGAAGGGAUAAACGCUGAAGGCAUCUAAGCGUGAAGCCCCCCUCAAGAUGAGAUAUCCCUCCUUCGGGAGUAAGACCCCUUGAAGACUACAAGGUAGAUAGGGCAGAGGUGGAAGCAUGGCAACAUGUGGAGCUGACUGUUACUAAUAGGUCGAGGGCUUAAU